RNAcentral lists this ribosomal RNA (1372 nucleotides) under uncultured bacterium. RNAcentral describes it as "bacterial SSU rRNA". It matches the Rfam family "Bacterial small subunit ribosomal RNA", at positions 28 to 1381 of the family's 1533-position model. The record is from RNAcentral.
GAUGAACGCUGGCGGCGUGCCUAAUACAUGCAAGUCGAGCGAACGGACGAGAAGCUUGCUUCUCUGAUGUUAGCGGCGGACGGGUGAGUAACACGUGGAUAACCUACCUAUAAGACUGGGAUAACUUCGGGAAACCGGAGCUAAUACCGGAUAAUAUUUUGAACCGCAUGGUUCAAAAGUGAAAGACGGUCUUGCUGUCACUUAUAGAUGGAUCCGCGCUGCAUUAGCUAGUUGGUAAGGUAACGGCUUACCAAGGCAACGAUGCAUAGCCGACCUGAGAGGGUGAUCGGCCACACUGGAACUGAGACACGGUCCAGACUCCUACGGGAGGCAGCAGUAGGGAAUCUUCCGCAAUGGGCGAAAGCCUGACGGAGCAACGCCGCGUGAGUGAUGAAGGUCUUCGGAUCGUAAAACUCUGUUAUUAGGGAAGAACAUAUGUGUAAGUAACUGUGCACAUCUUGACGGUACCUAAUCAGAAAGCCACGGCUAACUACGUGCCAGCAGCCGCGGUAAUACGUAGGUGGCAAGCGUUAUCCGGAAUUAUUGGGCGUAAAGCGCGCGUAGGCGGUUUUUUAAGUCUGAUGUGAAAGCCCACGGCUCAACCGUGGAGGGUCAUUGGAAACUGGAAAACUUGAGUGCAGAAGAGGAAAGUGGAAUUCCAUGUGUAGCGGUGAAAUGCGCAGAGAUAUGGAGGAACACCAGUGGCGAAGGCGACUUUCUGGUCUGUAACUGACGCUGAUGUGCGAAAGCGUGGGGAUCAAACAGGAUUAGAUACCCUGGUAGUCCACGCCGUAAACGAUGAGUGCUAAGUGUUAGGGGGUUUCCGCCCCUUAGUGCUGCAGCUAACGCAUUAAGCACUCCGCCUGGGGAGUACGACCGCAAGGUUGAAACUCAAAGGAAUUGACGGGGACCCGCACAAGCGGUGGAGCAUGUGGUUUAAUUCGAAGCAACGCGAAGAACCUUACCAAAUCUUGACAUCCUUUGACAACUCUAGAGAUAGAGCUUUCCCCUUCGGGGGACAAAGUGACAGGUGGUGCAUGGUUGUCGUCAGCUCGUGUCGUGAGAUGUUGGGUUAAGUCCCGCAACGAGCGCAACCCUUAAGCUUAGUUGCCAUCAUUAAGUUGGGCACUCUAAGUUGACUGCCGGUGACAAACCGGAGGAAGGUGGGGAUGACGUCAAAUCACCAUGCCCCUUAUGAUUUGGGCUACACACGUGCUACAAUGGACAAUACAAAGGGCAGCGAAACCGUGAGGUCAAGCAAAUCCCAUAAAGUUGUUCUCAGUUCGGAUUGUAGUCUGCAACUCGACUACAUGAAGCUGGAAUCGCUAGUAAUCGUAGAUCAGCAUGCUACGGUGAAUACGUUCCCGGGUCU